Molecule: transfer RNA, 86 nt
Filed under: Gammaproteobacteria bacterium
Lineage: Bacteria; Pseudomonadati; Pseudomonadota; Gammaproteobacteria
Also listed under: 1 other name
Description: tRNA-Leu
Rfam family: tRNA
About the family: Transfer RNA (tRNA) molecules are approximately 80 nucleotides in length. Their secondary structure includes four short double-helical elements and three loops (D, anti-codon, and T loops).
Source: RNAcentral
GCCGAAGUGGUGGAACUGGUAGACACGCUACCUUGAGGGGGUAGUGAGCAUAGCUCGUGGAGGUUCGAAUCCUCUCUUCGGCACCA